This 765-nucleotide ribosomal RNA is filed under the name Halorubrum xinjiangense. Its description in RNAcentral is "bacterial SSU rRNA". It matches the Rfam family "Archaeal small subunit ribosomal RNA", at positions 54 to 820 of the family's 1478-position model. Lineage: Archaea; Methanobacteriati; Methanobacteriota; Halobacteria; Halobacteriales; Haloferacaceae. The record is from RNAcentral.
CUAGUCGCACGAGUUCAGACUCGUGGCGAAUAGCUCAGUAACACGUGGCCAAACUACCCUUCGGAACACAAUACCCUCGGGAAACUGAGGCUAAUAGUGUAUACCAUACCACCACUGGAAUGAGUGGUAUGCCAAACGCUCCGGCGCCGAAGGAUGUGGCUGCGGCCGAUUAGGUAGACGGUGGGGUAACGGCCCACCGUGCCAAUAAUCGGUACGGGUCAUGAGAGUGAGAACCCGGAGACGGAAUCUGAGACAAGAUUCCGGGCCCUACGGGGCGCAGCAGGCGCGAAACCUUUACACUGCACGACAGUGCGAUAGGGGGAUCCCAAGUGCACAGGCAUAGCGCCUGUGCUUUUCGGUACCGUAAGGUGGUACCAGAAUAAGGGCUGGGCAAGACCGGUGCCAGCCGCCGCGGUAAUACCGGCAGCCCAAGUGAUGGCCGAUCUUAUUGGGCCUAAAGCGUCCGUAGCUGGCCGCGCAAGUCCAUCGGGAAAUCCACCUGCUCAACAGGUGGGCGCCCGGUAGAAACUGCGUGGCUUGGGACCGGAAGGCGCGACGGGUACGUCCGGGGUAGGAGUGAAAUCCCGUAAUCCUGGACGGACCGCCGAUGGCGAAAGCACGUCGCGAGAACGGAUCCGACAGUGAGGGACGAAAGCCAGGGUCUCGAACCGGAUUAGAUACCCGGGUAGUCCUGGCCGUAAACAAUGCCUGCUAGGUGUGGCUCCCACUACGAGUGGGUGCUGUGCCGUAGGGAAGCCGCUAAGC